AUUGAACGCUGGCGGCAGGCCUAACACAUGCAAGUCGAACGCGUCGCGCACGGGUGAGAAAUGUCUGGGAAACUGCCUGAUGGGGGGGGAUAACUUCUGGAAAGGGUAGCUAAUACCGCAUACCAUCAGAUAUGCCCAGAUGGGAUUAGCUUGUUGGUGGGGUAACGGCUCACCAAGGCGACGAUCCCUAGCUGGUCUGAGAGGGGGACCAGCCACACUGGAACUGAGACACGGCCCAGACUCCUACGGGAGGCAGCAGUGGGGAAUAUUGCACAAGGGGCGCAAGCCUGAUACAGCCAUGCCGCGUGUAUGAAGAAGGCCUUAGGGUUGUAAAGUACUUUCAGCGGGGAGGCGUUACCCGCAGAAGAAGCACCGGCUAACUCCGUGCCAGCAGCCGCGGUAAUAC
RNAcentral lists this ribosomal RNA (406 nucleotides) under uncultured bacterium. RNAcentral's name for it is "partial 16S ribosomal RNA". It matches the Rfam family "Bacterial small subunit ribosomal RNA", at positions 30 to 526 of the family's 1533-position model. The record is from RNAcentral.